AAUGAACGCUGGCGGCGUGCCUAACACAUGCAAGUCGGAUGUGCCCGCAAGGGUGCAUGGCAGACGGGUGAGUAACGCGUGGGGAACCUACCUCUUUGUGGGGAAUAACGUUCCGAAAGGAAUGGUAAUACCGCAUGAGACCUUCGGCUGGGAUGCUGGAGGUGAAACCCGGGGACCGUAAGGCCUGGGGCAAGGAGAGGGUCCUGCGUCUGAUUAGCUAGUUGGCGGGGUAAUGGCCCACCAAGGCGACGAUCAGUAGCCGGCCUGAGAGGGUGAUCGGCCACACUGGAACUGAGACACGGUCCAGACUCCUACGGGAGGCAGCAGUGGGGAAUUUUGCGCAAUGGACGAAAGUCUGACGCAGCAACGCCGCGUGGGUGAUGAAGGUCUUCGGAUUGUAAAACCCUGUCGUCAGGGACGAAGGUUGGGGCUUUAAUAGAGUUUCAACUUGACGGUACCUGGAGAGGAAGCCCCGGCUAACUCUGUGCCAGCAGCCGCGGUAAAACGUCUA
RNAcentral lists this ribosomal RNA (511 nucleotides) under uncultured bacterium. Its description in RNAcentral is "bacterial SSU rRNA". It matches the Rfam family "Bacterial small subunit ribosomal RNA", at positions 29 to 531 of the family's 1533-position model. The record is from RNAcentral.